CCUACGGGAGGCAGCAGUGGGGGAUAUUGCACAAUGGGGGAAACCCUGAUGCAGCGACGCCGCGUGUGGGAAGACGGUCCUCUGGAUUGUAAACCACUGUCCCCAGGGACGAAGAUGACGGUACCUGGGGAGGAAGCUCCGGCUAACUACGUGCCAGCAGCCGCGGUAAUACGCGGGGAGCGAGCGUGGUCCGGAAUUACGGGGUGUAAGGGGAGCGUAGGCGGGGCUGCAAGUUGGGGGUCAAAUCUACCGGCUCAACCGGUAGCCGCACUCAAAACUGCAGUUCUUGAGUGAAGUAGAGGCAGGCGGAAUUCCUAGUGUAGCGGUGAAAUGCGUAGAUAUUAGGAGGAACACCAGUGGCGAAGGCGGCCUGCUGGGCUUUGACUGACGCUGAGGCUCGAAAGUGUGGGGAGCAAACAGGAUUAGAUACCCCAGUAGUC
RNAcentral lists this ribosomal RNA (440 nucleotides) under uncultured bacterium. RNAcentral's name for it is "partial 16S ribosomal RNA". It matches the Rfam family "Bacterial small subunit ribosomal RNA", at positions 338 to 795 of the family's 1533-position model. The record is from RNAcentral.